RNAcentral lists this ribosomal RNA (460 nucleotides) under uncultured bacterium. Its description in RNAcentral is "partial 16S ribosomal RNA". It matches the Rfam family "Bacterial small subunit ribosomal RNA", at positions 338 to 795 of the family's 1533-position model. The record is from RNAcentral.
CCUACGGGAGACAGCAGUGAGGAAUAUUGGUCAAUGGACGAAAGUCUGAACCAGCCAAGUCGCGUGAAGGAAGACUGCCCUAUGGUUUGUAAACUUCUUUUAUAUGGGAAUAAAAUGUUCCACGUGUGGGGAUUUGUAUGUACCCUAUGAAUAAGGAUCGGCUAACUCCGUGCCAGCAGCCGCGGUAAUACGGAGGAUCCGAGCGUUAUCCGGAUUUAUUGGGUUUAAAGGGAGCGUAGGUGGUUUGUUAAGUCAGUUGUGAAAGUUUGCGGCUCAACCGUAAAAUUGCAGUUGAAACUGGCAGACGUGAGUGCAGUAGAGGUGGGCGGAAUUCGUGGUGUAGCGGUGAAAUGCGUAGAUAUCACGAAGAACUCCGAUUGCGAAGGCAGCUCACUGGACUGCAACUGACACUGAGGCUCGAAAGCGUGGGUAUCAAACAGGAUUAGAUACCCGAGUAGUC